Molecule: ribosomal RNA, 434 nt
Filed under: uncultured bacterium
Lineage: Bacteria
Description: partial 16S ribosomal RNA
Rfam family: Bacterial small subunit ribosomal RNA
Source: RNAcentral
AGCGAACGCUGGCGGCAGGCCUAACACAUGCAAGUCGAACGAACCUUUCGGGGUUAGUGGCGGACGGGUGAGUAACACGUGGGAACGUGCCUUUAGGUUCGGAAUAACUCAGGGAAACUUGUGCUAAUACCGAAUGUGCCCUUCGGGGGAAAGAUUAAUCGCCUUUAGAGCGGCCCGCGUCUGAUUAGCUAGUUGGUUGAGGUAAUGGCUCACCACGGCGACGCUCAGUAGCUGGUCUGAGAGGAUGAUCAGCCACAUUGGGACUGAGACACGGCCCAAACUCCUACGGGAGGCAGCAGUGGGGAAUCUUGCGCAAUGGGCGAAAGCCUGACGCAGCCAUGCCGCGUGAAUGAUGAAGGUCUUAGGAUUGUAAAAUUCUUUCACCGGGGACGAUAAUGACGGUACCCGGAGAAGAAGCCCCGGCUAACUUCGUG